Molecule: ribosomal RNA, 638 nt
Filed under: Aspergillus sulphureus
Lineage: Eukaryota; Fungi; Ascomycota; Eurotiomycetes; Eurotiales; Aspergillaceae
Also listed under: 2 other names
Description: eukaryotic LSU rRNA
Rfam family: Eukaryotic large subunit ribosomal RNA
Source: RNAcentral
GGUUGACCUCGGAUCAGGUAGGGAUACCCGCUGAACUUAAGCAUAUCAAUAAGCGGAGGAAAAGAAACCAACCGGGAUUGCCUCAGUAACGGCGAGUGAAGCGGCAAGAGCUCAAAUUUGAAAUCUGGCCCCCUCGGGGUCCGAGUUGUAAUUUGCAGAGGAUGCUUCGGGUGCGGCCCCCGUCUAAGUGCCCUGGAACGGGCCGUCAUAGAGGGUGAGAAUCCCGUCUGGGACGGGGUGUCCGCGUCCGUGUGAAGCUCCUUCGACGAGUCGAGUUGUUUGGGAAUGCAGCUCUAAAUGGGUGGUAAAUUUCAUCUAAAGCUAAAUACUGGCCGGAGACCGAUAGCGCACAAGUAGAGUGAUCGAAAGAUGAAAAGCACUUUGAAAAGAGAGUUAAAAAGCACGUGAAAUUGUUGAAAGGGAAGCGCUUGCGACCAGACUCGCCCGCGGGGUUCAGCCGGCAUUCGUGCCGGUGUACUUCCCCGCGGGCGGGCCAGCGUCGGUUUGGGCGGCCGGUCAAAGGCCUCCGGAAUGUAGUGCCCCUACGGGGGCACCUUAUAGCCGGGGGUGCAAUGCGGCCAGCCUGGACCGAGGAACGCGCUUCGGCACGGACGCUGGCAUAAUGGUUGCAAACGACC